CAACGACGAAGAACCUUACCAGAUCUUGACAUCCAAUUGACCAUCUUUAAUCGAGAUUUUGCCUUCGGGUACAAUUGAGACAGGUGGUGCAUGGUUGUCGUCAGCUCGUGUCGUGAGAUGUUGGGUUAAGUCCCGCAACGAGCGCAACCCUUGUGUUUAGUUGCAAACAGGUCAAGCUGUGCACUCUAGACAGACUGCCGUGGACAACACGGAGGAAGGUGGGGAUGACGUCAAAUCAUCAUGCCCCUUAUGAUCUGGGCUACACACGUGCUACAAUGGCCGGUGCAACAGGCAGCGAAGGAGCGAUCCGGAGCGAAUCCUAAAAAGCCGGUCCCAGUUCGGAUUGCAGGCUGAAACUCGCCUACAUGAAGUUGGAGUUGCUAGUAAUCGCGAAUCAGAAUGUCGCGGUGAAUGCGUUCCCGGGUCUU
Molecule: ribosomal RNA, 428 nt
Filed under: uncultured Fusibacter sp.
Lineage: Bacteria; Bacillati; Bacillota; Clostridia; Eubacteriales; Fusibacteraceae
Description: bacterial SSU rRNA
Rfam family: Bacterial small subunit ribosomal RNA
Source: RNAcentral